Molecule: long non-coding RNA, 4897 nt
Organism: Brassica napus (rape)
Lineage: Eukaryota; Viridiplantae; Streptophyta; Magnoliopsida; Brassicales; Brassicaceae
Exons: 2
Source: RefSeq, a predicted model, not a curated record
AUUUUUUAUUUGAUGAUUUCAAAUUAUGAAAACUCGAAAACGUAAUAAAAAAGGUAAAAUGUAUAAAACAAACCCCUAUAUUAAUAAAGUAAUAAGAAACUUAAACAAUAAAAUUAAAAAGUUAUAAAAUACUAAACACUAAAAUAUAAAUUGUAUAUUUAAAUUUAUAUAAUAAUAUUAAAAUUAAAUAUUUAUAAAAUGAAAAUAUACCCGCACUAUGUGCGGGAUAAACUCUAGUUAACUUUACAAUUUGUCACACCCACACCAAUUAUAAAUUCAAACUAUACCAUUACGAUAUAUCAUCGCAAAAAAUAUAUCUUAACGUGUUUCACCAAAAAAAUAUUAUAAUUCUCAUUAGAAUUAUCGUUGUCGGCGGUAAAAUCGGCUAUGAAAUAUUUUACAUUAUUUAAAAUAGCAUAAUUAACCAGAUGGCUAAAAACGUGUUUCACCAAAUCUACGGGUUCUAUAACCAAAAUAACAUCUGUUAAAUGAAGUCACAACCAAAAGAUUUACAAUAACAUAUCGGAGGAACUGGAAUAUGUAAAAAUUUCAUUAAAUAAAAAUUUUAUAGUAAAAUUUCCUUAUUUAUACCUAACUAGGGCAGGUCCACGCUACGUGUGGGAGUUGAUAUCGAUUUUUAUAAAAUAUAUAAUUUUGUGUAUAUUUUAUUUUCCGUUUAAGUUUGGUACGAGUAUAAAUAUGUUGUCUACACUGAAUUCCAAUUUAAUAUAACUAAAGAUAACCGGAUACUUAGUAUUGUUGCUGAUUUAAUUAAGAGUUAUAAGAUUUUAUAGUGUUUUAAGUAUUAUAACACUAUAAAAUACAUAAAUCAACCGAAAUCGAUCAAUAAAGAAUGAUAUUGAGUUUUCAAAUACCAUUGUAUCUUUUUUUGUGAGGGUUUAUAAAAAAGUGAAAAAAUAGGUUUUAAUUUACAUGAACUCUCUGUCGAUUAUAGUUUUUUUUGUCCUAUCGAUUAUAGUUGUUUUGGACAAUAUUAAUAAUUGCUAUUAUUAACAAUUGUUGUUGGUUUUUUGGUAUCUAUGUUAUAAUGGGUUAUUGUGGUUUCUGAAUGUAUUGUUAUAUAUGAUUAAUUACGUUGAAUAUUUGACUUACAAAAUAAAUUUCUUAGUCUUUCUUUGUUUCUUUUGUUUGAUAUUUUUGCUUAAAUUUGCUUAUGAAUUACCCUUUCGUUUCAAAAUUAUACAUAUUUUAGAAUUUUCACAUUUUUUUAAUAAAACAUAUUGAAAUGUAGUCAUAAAUGCAUAGUUUUUUUUUGUAAUUUUAUAUUUCCUAUAUUUAAAAAAAAAUAAGAUUUUUAAAAUGCAUUUAAUGUUUUUGAAAUUCACAAUUUUUCAUUAUAAGUUGCAAAAAUUGCAUUGGAAAUAUAAAAAUGUAUCUUUUAGAAACAAAUUUUUUCUCUAUAAUAUGCAUCAUUUUGAAACGGAGAGAGUAUGUAAUUAAUCGUACUAACAAGUUAUUAGUAAGGCAGAAAAGGGAAAAAAUAAAAAGAAAAUAAAAAGAAAUGGCAAAAAAGUAACAAAUGUAUUACUUUAAAUAGACAAACUGAGCGUAACAUUUAUCCAAAUUUAAACACAUAAUAGAUCUUCAUUUUAAUUUAGAAAGAUUAAUUCAUUCGUUUGUUGUUAAUUAAAAGAUACCUGAGUUAUUUCUUUCUUGGUUCUAACAUAAUUUUUUUUAUUUAGAAUAAACAUAUGUUUGAACGAAGAUAAUAUGGAAGGCCUUCAAAUUCCAUUUGCUAAGCAAUAUUCUGUCAAAUUUUGAAAAUGUUGUUAAGUCUACUGCAAGCCUCUGCUUGUUUCAUAUUUCAUAUAUUUUUGUAGAAGUGUUACGGAAGUUAGUAAUUUAUGUUUCUUGUACAUGCCUUUUAGCUUCCCUUCAGUGACCUUGUUUUUGUCUUUUCUUCUCUAUUAUUCCUUCUCUCUCCCUUGCUUUUGUAGCUUUUGAUAUUUCUUGCAACCGAUGUUACUCCUUCAUCUCUGCCACUUCCUUUUGUUUUCUUUUCUCCUCUUUUUUCUUAAUCAACUCCUCUUCCUUUUUGUUAAUUUUGUUGGUUCUUCUUCUUUUUGGAUCUUCUUCCUUUGGCUUCUCUACUCCUCUUUUUCAGAUACAAAUUCCUUGACAAUUGAUGGAGGCUGGUCUGUCUUGACAGUCUUAUUAGAUUUUAUGGAUUAGGUCUUCUGCUCGGUGGGUUUUGGAAAAGUUCUUACACUUUUUUCACCUUUAUAUUCUACGGCCUUUUAUGUUAAAAUUGGUGGAGUUGUCUCAAGUUUCUCCCCAGUCUCUCAAAGUUCUAAAUUUAUUUGUUCUUGUAGCAUAAGUUAUCUGGAGAGGUUCCUCAUCGUAGCCAAGAAGACGUCAUCUAAUGUUUCUAGUUCUUAAGAUAUGAGGCUUGUGCUUAUGUCGGAAAAAAGCAUUGCAAGGCUGCUCUAUCUUUCUUUAAAGCCAUUUCAUAUGAUGCUUCUGAAUCUUCUCCUCAAUUGAAGAAAUAUUUAUUUUGCAAUACUUAAAAAUGAAAAAGUGAAUCAACAAUCUAACAAAAGCAGCGGCUUCGUGCUCUCAUUCAUCAAGAUUUAUCUCCAUCGAAUAUUUACAUGAAUCUUAGUUGAUUGUUCGGCUGUUUCAACUCCUUGGUUUGUCAGUCUAUGCAGAUCUCCUCUACCCUUUGUUGAGGAUGGCUAUAUCAACAGCACCUACUGGUGUUUUCAUUUAGAUUUCUGGUUUGCCUAUGGUAAAGGCCUUUUCUCUAAAUCUUUAGUAUUGAACUCAUAUGUGCUCUUCUGAGUUUGGAGUUGUAGUCCUAUUCUACCUUAGUAAAACCAAUGUUAAAAAUAAAAUCUAAUCAAAGACCAUCUAAUCUCGUAACUACAUUUUAUUCAUUCCUUCUGGCCGACUACAUUUUGUUACUUUAUGUUACGAAUUCAAAAGAAUAAUAUAAAAUGUAAGAGUGAAGGAAUAAAUUGAAAAAAAAAAAAAUUCGGUUAAGAAGGAGAAAGAUUAUCUUCUCUACAGUAUAAUUCGAUAAUGGUGAACAUUUCUCUUGUUAUAAAUUUUGUGUUUUUGUUCUAAUUUGGAGUUUCCGUAUUUCCGACUAUGUUCAAACUUUGUUUGUUUCUUUGUAAGUUGUAGUUGUUCCUUUUCCUCUUUGUUUUCAAAACUUUUCUUUAACUUGUGCACAAUUUUUUUUAUUUCUAGCAGGAAUAAUAUCACAAAUUAAACUUCACAUUAGAACAUAACACACAACUGAGACAAAUUUGUAAUUUAGAUAUGGUAAGAAGUGUAUGACUGGCUAAAACUAAUGUUAGUUCUUUUUCUCUCAUUUUUAACUCUUUCUGUUCUUGAUAGUCUUCGAACACCGACUCUGGUAUCACUCUCAGUCCUCUGUAAUACCUCAUUCAUCCCAUUUGUGUGAAAAAUCUUUGGCUUCGUCUCAGCCUUCGUUAAAGCCUAAUGGACUCACCAUAGCUUCUUCUGAUUUCUUGUGAUGAACGCCAGAGAACAGUGACACAUCAGAAAAGUCUAAAUAAUCCUGCGAUCAGAGAAAACUCAGUUUGUCUAACAUAGGUCGCAGAUCCAGUAGGCUGAUUAUAUAAGUAAGCGUUGAAGCUGCAUCGUUUUCUUUCCUCGCUUCGAGUCGUCACUGAGAUGUCUCCGGUGGCGUUGGAAGAAUGAUUUCUGUCUCGGCUUCCCUUUAUGCUUCAUGUGAAAGCAAUGUCCAAAGCAAAGUAGUGUCCUUGUUUUUUGUUUUUUUUUUUUGUUUUUUUUUUGAAGUACUUCAUUCAUUUCAACCAACAUCCAUACAUGAUUACAUCACAAAUUCUCAGUCCCUAAGGAUCUGCAUACAAAAAUAGUUUCCUAGCUUCAAUCAUGAAUAAACCGAAGCUCUAGAAUAAAGAAAUCCAAGUGGCAAGAAAGGAAACAGGAGCAAAACGCGCCAGUUGCCGUGGAGAGAGAAUGUCAAGUUUUGCUCUAAGCUGUCGAGAGAUGUCUUCAGUUAGAGCACUGGCCGUCGAGAAGUAUUGUUAUGAAGUAUAGCAUUCCUCUCUUUCCAAAUAAAAUAUAUUUCAGCUUGGAAUGCUGAGUACUGUAAGUGCAAUUGAAGAACAAAUGUUGUGUUGUCUCGGCCUGAGCACACAGAAGUGCUCACAGAAGACACUGAUCCGGAACCGAGAUUUCCUUCAUUAUAAUCAUUUAUCGGGCAUCGUAGCUGAGUUUUUGGCCCCGCAUUUUCCAGGUCUACCACCAUGUUUAUGCUUCUUCUGAUGAAUCUUGUUGCUGAGUUUUAUCUGUGAAGAAACGCAACCACCUCUGUCUUUCUUUUUUGGAGAGUUUCUAGUACAUACACCAGCUAAUAGCUGAAAAAAAACAAAAAGCUUUUAGAGGAAUCUGUUGCAAAAAUCAAGAUAUAAAGAAAGAACAAUGAUAAGACAACCACACCAGAUAUAUAUAUAUAUAUAUAUAUAUAUAUAUAUAUAUUUAUGUUCUUGUCUGAAAUCAAAUGAAAAAGAUUCAAUCUUUUAUCCUUUUAUUAUAAAAAAAAAGAGAAAUCAUCUGUAAGAACUUUAUGUAUACAUAAGAGAAUGCAUCAACAUUUAUAACUGGGAUGUUGAUCCAUGUAUAUCUUCAAGACCUUCAUAAAAGAGAAGAGGACAAACUUAAUUGGUCAUAGAUUCUUAAAUGUUUUUUUUUUGUUCUAAAUUUGUAUUUAGCAGAUGACAUCAAACCCUUAAGAUGUACAUCAUUUGAGAUUUGAAACGUGAAAGUAAAAAACAAUAUUCAAUAUAAUACCAAGUCUGAACAUUUCUUAGCAGAGCCGUGAAUAUACUUCAACCCCAUUUAAAAAAAAACAAUAAAUUUAAAAUUUGUGAACAAACAUGUA